This 468-nucleotide ribosomal RNA is filed under the name uncultured bacterium. Its description in RNAcentral is "partial 16S ribosomal RNA". It matches the Rfam family "Bacterial small subunit ribosomal RNA", at positions 28 to 507 of the family's 1533-position model. The record is from RNAcentral.
GACGAACGCUGGCGGCGUGCUUAACACAUGCAAGUCGAACGGCAAGGCCCUGCUUUUGUGGGGUGCUCGAGUGGCGAACGGGUGCGUAACACGUGAGUAACCUGCCCUUGACUUUGGUAUAACUUCAGGAAACUGGGGCUAAUACCGUAUAGGAGCUCCUGCUGCAUUGUGGGGGUUGGAUAGUUUCGGCUGUUGGGGAUGGACUCGCGGCUUAUCAGUUUGUUGGUGGGGUAGUGGCUUACCAAGGCUUUGGCGGAUAGCCGGCAUGAGAGGGUGAACGGCGACAUGGGGACUGAGAUACGGAGCAGACUCCUACGGGAGGCAGCAGGGGGGAAUAUUGCACAAUGGGCGGAAGCCUGAGGCAGAAACGCCGCGUGCGGGAUGACGGCCUUCGGGUUGUAAACCGCUGUAGCCUGUGACGAAGCGGGAGUGACGGUAAUGGGUAAAGAAGCACCGGCUAACUACGUG